This 468-nucleotide ribosomal RNA is filed under the name uncultured bacterium. RNAcentral describes it as "partial 16S ribosomal RNA". It matches the Rfam family "Bacterial small subunit ribosomal RNA", at positions 28 to 507 of the family's 1533-position model. The record is from RNAcentral.
GACGAACGCUGGCGGCGUGCUUAACACAUGCAAGUCGAACGGAAAGGCCCUGCUUUUGUGGGGGGCUCGAGUGGCGAACGGGUGAGUAACACGUGAGUAACCUGCCCUUGACUUUGGGAUAACUUCAGGAAACUGGGGCUAAUACCGGAUAGGAGCUCCUGCUGCAUGGUGGGGGUUGGAAAGUUUCGGCGGUUGGGGAUGGACUCGCGGCUUAUCAGCUUGUUGGUGGGGUAGUGGCUUACCAAGGCUUUGACGGGUAGCCGGCCUGAGAGGGUGACCGGCCACAUUGGGACUGAGAUACGGCCCAGACUCCUACGGGAGGCAGCAGUGGGGAAUAUUGCACAAUGGGCGGAAGCCUGAUGCAGCAACGCCGCGUGCGGGAUGACGGCCUUCGGGUUGUAAACCGCUUUCGCCUGUGACGAAGCGUGAGUGACGGUAAUGGGUAAAGAAGCACCGGCUAACUCCGUG